UAUAUAUAUAUAUAUAUAUAUAUAUAUAUAUGUAUGUAUGUAUUACCACUUAUCAGAUUUUUGUCGUUUUUAUUAAAGCAAUCUGAAUAAGUGUAAACACGUUUCAAGAUAGUACUCUCAAUAUUGAAAUAUUUUUAAUCAGGUACGACAUGAGUCAGGUGUUAAAUUCAAAUUGAUUGUAAAAUUAUGAACGCGUGUCGUGUUCGGGACGAUGAAUUUCGAAAGUGAGUAUGAAAUUAUUUGCCGUCGUAGCAAUUAAAUUUGGAGUAUCGAACGAAGAAGUUAUUUCUUUUCUUUUUUUUACUUCUUUUUUUUUUUUUCCUCUAACAACAGUUUCGUAGCAAUUAAUAAUGAAUAUAAAUUUUUGAGGAUAUUUAUCUCACUUGUUUUUCCUCUUAGAGGAUCACGUUGAUUCUUAAAAGAAAGAAGUGUAUCCAAGAUUCUGAUUCAUCGUAGAAAUUCCAAGAAGCUUACACACACGAUUAUCUGCUCACUAUGUCUCCUCAGAAUCGAAAGAACAAAGGUCGGAACGUAUGAUACUUUUGUCUCGUGCGCGGCUAAUGAAAGGGAAAAAAUUCAUGUGACUGAUGAUGAAGAAAGCACAAGAAGAGUCCGUCUGUCAAAACGAAGUCUGUGCCUUGUCAAGGGACGUCUUUAAGGUGAACAUGGAACCGAAAAGGGAACGAAGGAAAGAACUUUUUUUUUUCUUUAGGUAAUCGUCAUCAUUGGAAGUGUUCGUAGAAAUUAUAACAAUUUUUUUAUUACCAUAUAAUUACGAACUGGAAAUUUAUCGCGAAUGAUGACUGAAUCACCAGGUCCAUUCAUACGUAAACUCGUUUGAAGAUAUCUGAGAAAAAGAAAACAUCGAAAGAAAAGUUUCGACGAUCAGGAUAUGUCUAUCGUUUAUCCACACGAAUCCCUUCCGGUCAACCCACUUUAGGACGAAAUGCGAUUGCAUCGAAGCGAAUGAACAGCAGCCAUCAUGUAUUUGGUACAGAGGACACAGAUCGAACUUCCGGCUGUCUCGAACCCUUCGUUCUUUCUCUAUCUUCCAUCCGGUCAGCCUUUGAACGGGCAGCAAAGAGCAGAGACACCACAAUAUUCUAUGGAUCAACGGGUCAUACCCUAUUAAGUUCGAUCUCGUUACACGCGUACGUAAUAGUAGGUACGACCCUUUACACUUCCUCGUCAGAUUUAGAAUGGGUGGGGGGUCUCUCUGACCUUGAGAGUCUCCAACAGGAAACAGAUACGAUUGAUAUCGUGUUCAUGAAUUUUCAUUGGUCGCGCAACGAUCAUUCUAAAAUAAUCUUUCGUCAUUGUAGUAUUUCGUGAUGAAUAUGGUAUCACGUAAAAUCUAUGAAAAUGUGUGGGUGAGGUUUACGCGUAUGACAUUAUUUCGUUAUAUAAUUUAUAAUAUUUGCCUUUUAGCCCUAUAAGAGUAAACUUGGUUAUCAAACAACGGACAUAUACUUGAACGCUGAGUUCAUUGAUAUCGAGAAGAGAUAGAAUGGGACGCGGCGAGGAAACGAUGUAGAAAGAGAGAGAAAGAGAGAGAGUGAGAAGAGGGGAGGGGAGGUGGAGUCAUCGUAAAAGAAAGAGUCAAUGGGACCACUGUAUGCCAGAUGGUCGGAGCAGCCCUCUAGAUAUUAUACCGUCGGACCUUCCAGCAUUUACUUACUAUUUCUUAAUGACAAGAAAAGAUUCGUUUCACUAGUGUAUCAUAACUAUUCGAUGGAAAUAGGUAUAGAACAAGAUCUCGAAUGGAUAAGAAGAUAAAUUAAAAGGAUAUAUCGUUCACUUUCAUUUUUUUUCGUCGAAUUUCUAUUCAAAAAUCGUCUAGGCUAUUUUGUUAGACUUUUUCUGGAUGUGGAAUUUUAAAGGGUCUCUUAACGGUACAUAUGGGUUUUCUUGCUUCUUCUUAGAAUAAAAAAAAAAAAAAAAAAAAAAACCGGAGAACAUCUCUCGUAGUAGCAGGUAACGUUGAGAAUCGAAAGCAGAAUAGAAAACGUUGGGUGAUGUUAAGAAAGAGUAAGAGAGAGAGAGAGAGAGAGAGAGAGAGAGAGAGACCAAGGAAGAAACGAGAUGAUUAAUUCCUGCGGUCGAAUGAGUAACGCGAGACUCUCUAGGAUCCUUCUUAAAGACAGAAAGUUUUUAUCUCGUUGUGGCUAACUUGUCUUGAGGUUUCCGUAUCGUCGUCAUACUUUAACGUGAUGAUUCAUGGUUGAAAGAGUACCACCAUUGUGUAUUGUUAAAGUUGAAUUCUGAUCGAGAUGAUCGAAGGAGGAGAACUACUACUGACUCGAUCGUGAAUGAAGGGAUUGCUUUGAUCAAUUCCUUGACAAUUAUUUGAUUCCAUCGAACUCGUAGACCGGAUCGCUCGAGAAUCGAUGUCUUUGUACUCUCUUCUGGGAUCGGAAGUGGCAUCACCAAGGAAACGUGGCGUCUAACUUUAUUCUCUUUUUUUCUUCUCGUAUUUGACCGCACGAGAGGGAGUCGGGAGGAAUGGGAGGGACGGACAAGGAGGGACAGGGAGGGCUAGGGAGGUUUGGCCCUCGAGCAUUGUACAGUCAGGAUCUCUCAAGGUAUCAUUAUUCGAACCCCAUCCAACAAACGGAGAGAAAGAGAGAGAGCGAGAGAGAGAGAGAGAGAGAGAGAGAGAGGGAGGGAGCGGGAGAGAGAGAGAGAGAGCCUCGAGCUCCGUAAAGCCAUACGCCAAGAAUGUUAAGUGUCGCAAUCGUUCAUUGUUCGGCGUUGCACGAAGGAGAAGCUCGACCAUCUGCAGAGAACCGGGAACUCGCCGCAAUUCUUCUCUCCCUAACCCUUUUUUUUAUAUUUUUGUUUUGUUUUGUUUUGUUGUACUUUUUCUCUUUCUUUUUUUGUUUUCCUUUUUUUUUUCUUUUUAUUUUUUUCCCCUUUUUUUUCUUUUUUUUUUCCCUUUGGUCUUGCGCCAGAUGUUCGAUUCAGUAUGGAACAGAAGCUUCGAUAGGAAGAAGAAGAAGAAUAGGUCAUUUGUAAAUUUAGUACAAAAGGGAAAAUAAUGAAUUUUAGAUAUUAAUUUCUAAAGUCCAUUCGAUAUUUCACUUUUGACUUUUGUUGGAAAGAUGAGGGUCCAUUAUUGUUUGAUUUAAUCGAUUGAUUCGUUUCUUAUUUUAUUUAUUUAUUUAUUUAUUUAUAUAUUUUUCUUUUUUUUUCGUACAAAUUUGUUCGAGGAUACUUGCAGAAUGUUUACGAGCAUUUUAAUAUUCGUGCUGUAGGAUGUUCAAAGGAAAAGAUUCUUAGAAUGCAAUUACUUAUUGAUUUUUAAUAUCGAUUAGGUUCCUUGGUUUACUUGGUCUUUGUUACUAUAAAAAACAAAAGAAAAAAGAGAAGAAAAAUUCAAUUGUUUGUUUGUUUGUUUGUUUGUUUUUUUUUUAAGGGUACUUGCACGAAACGUUUCCAGCUUCUGGAUAUGUUUAUUCUCAAGGACGUUAAAUGUGCGAGAUUCUUAGAAUGCAAUUUGUCGUCUUACUCAGUGACACCAUUGCCAUCUCUACCGCGAACUUUCGCGGUGACAUAAGCCGAUUUGGCGCCUGACUAUUAAACGUCACGAUGUGUCCUACGUACUUAUGUACGUGUAUAUAUAUAUAUAUAUAUAUAUACACAUUGCGAAUGCAUUAGCACGUGCUCGCAAUGUGAACAUCGUAAUCUCAUACAGAGAGCCGAUGGAUCGAGGAAAGCAUCAUCUAAAUAUAAUCAUUACUUCUAAGAAUCUCUCGUACUUAUCUUGAAUGAGAAUUCAUAAAUUCCAAUGAUAAAAACGAGAAGGAACGGACGUAUAUGAAUUUUUUUCAAGUAAAAGGAAAAAAGAAAGAAUAGAAAAGAACAGAAAGGAAAAAGAAAAAGAAAACAGAAAAGAAAUAAAGCGACAAGGAUUUGAAUUUGGUUCAUUCGAGAUAGAUCAAGGAUAAAUGGAGAUAAAGAAAGAAAAUUUAUUGAUUCAUCCGGGAUCAACCGUUCGAACGAGGGCUCUUCUCUCUAGGUUUCGUGGAAAAACGGGUAAACGGCAUAGAUAAGGGAGAACAGAGAUAACGGCGAGACAGUGAGGAUGCAGAUAAACCGGGAAGAAGACCACUUUACGAUUUUAUUUAUUUCAAAUGGCGUUGCGACCGAACGGGGUUCUUUAUCGCGACGGAAGCCAAAGCUCCAAGCUAAUUCUUAGUACUAAUUGGACGUAACGAGACGACAUCGUAGAAAGAUCCUUCGUGUCCUUGGGAAUCGACCUUCACACGGAGUCAUCGAUGCGAAGAUUUUUCUAUAACGGUUCAUUGUGAAGAAAGAGAAAAAGGUUACUGGACUACAUGCAUUUUAUAUGAUACGUCUCAGCAAUUAAUCUAAUCGUUGAAGAUCGAGAAGAAGAAAAAGAGGAUGGAGAUGAAAAUAAUAAAAAUGCGAGAAUGGACAAAACCAUUGGAUUAUAAGUUGGUUCGUCUUCUCUAUCUUCUUAUAUUCCAUUCGUUCAAAGGCUGUAACUAAUCGAGAAAGAUCUUUCAUGAUCGCAGACACCUCUCUCUCUUUCUCGAUGCACAUGACGUUGCAUUUAUUGUCAGUGUUUAUGAUGGAACUUUGCGAUCGGCAUGACGAGACAUUUUAUUUUCGAGAAGGAAAUUCGACAAAACAGGAACAGUUAGGUACGAUCGCCAUGACCCUAUAUAUAUAUCACGUAGAGUCGAUUUAUUAUAGCGUAUAGAGUGUAGUUUUGGAUUUAUUUCUUUUGGAAAAAGGAAAAAAGAAAAAAGAGGGAGAAAAGAAAAUGCGCAAGAAGGAAAAAGUAGAAGAAUAAAAAAAAAAAAAAAUGUCUAAACAGCUUUCUCCUUGCAUUUCCGGAUAAAAUCGUUGAUUUCUAUUUUGAAUUUUUCUUAGCGAAACGAGAUUCGAAAGGGACUCCUACGUCAAGUUUUACCACAGUAAUAGUGGCCCAAGAGAGAGAAAGAGAAAGAGAUAGAAUAAGAGCGAUUAAGUGGAUCCGCAAGGGUAAACGCAGCUCGUAUAGUUUUUCACUUCUCAUUGUGAGUUAGCCGCAAUGUGCGACGCUCGGUAUGCGGGGUUCUCACAGAGAAUUCUUCGUUCAAGAGAGAGAGAGAGAGAGAGAGAGAGACACAAAAAAGAUGGAAGGUUUACUACGAGCUUGGGACGCUUGCUUUAAAACGAGGGAACUCGCUUUUAACACUUAUAUUCUCUUACCGACAGAAGGAUCUCUUUUUAUUUUUUUGUUUCUGUUUUUCAAUUUUUUUUUGUCUUUUUCUCGUAUUUUUGUUGUUUUUCUUUUCAUACUUAGAGAUCUUUUUUCGAGUACCCCAUUCAGCUAACUUUACAAUGUGAGAUCUACUCAUAUAGAUAUUGACUUUGGAAAGUUUUGCGCGCAGUUCAUUUCACACGUUUAAUGACGAAUUAAAAUUUUUUGCACACGUUUCAUAGAUUGAAAAAACGUAAGCUUUUUUAUUAUUAUUAUUAUUAUUAUUAUUAUUAUUAUUAUUAGCGAAUAUAUUUGAACCGUUUGAAUGAAACGUCAGAAGAAGAAGAAGAAGAAGAAGAAGAAAAAGCUUCGAAAGCGCAUGAAUUUUUUUUUGCGAGAGAAUAAAAAAAAGAAGCAAAAGAAAAAAGAGAAUUUAGAUAGUAAAGGUCAUCACAAACGAAGUUAAUAGCGAGUCUAUCUAACGGAAGAAACGGUGCGUUUGCUCCGACCUUUGCGCAGUCGCGUGUGAAACGGGUCAGAGUGUAGCUUGUCUGAACAGAGUAAAAAUUCUUUGUAUUUACGCGUGAUUAUUAAAAGAAAAGAGUAGAGAGAGAGAGAGAGAGAGAGAGAGAUGAUUGCACGCGUAGAGAAGAGCAACAGAAUAAUGACUGGAGGAGUAGAGUCAUAUAAUCCGACAAUUAUAAUGAUAAUUAUUAAGCCAAGAAUACAGUGUUGCUACAGUCGAGUGCUAAAAAUUACUCGGGACGGAUAUCCCUUAGAUUCUUAGAAAGUAUAUAUUUAAUUUAAUAUAAUAAAUCAUUGAAAUGAUGAUUUCUUGGUGGUCUAUUAGCUAAGCGACUGGAUGAAAAAUCUUAUUUCCGUAAGCGUUAGAAAGAGAGAGAAAGUAAUUCCAUGUGUGUGUCUCGACAAGCAGAUGUAAAAGAAAAAUAAGCAGCAGUGGGUCCUUCUUAAACAUCUUGCGUUAGGAUGAAGGCCCUCAAGAGACUCAUGUUUCUCUCUUCUCGCAAAAAGGGACGCGAAACCGCACGUCUUCUACUUGCAACGAAUGGAAGAGAGAGGGAAAGAAAGAAGAAGAUGAAGAAACAUUUCGAAGAUCGUCGUGAGAAGUUGUGGCUUUUCAUUUGGAAGAUUUCAGAGAUGCAUAAGUGUGUGUUUGUGUGUAUAUGCGUGCGCGAAUGUAAGUUGUUGUUGUUGUUGUUGUUGUUAAUACCUACCCUCCCUCUCUCUCUCUCUGUCUCUCUUUCUCUCUCUCUCUCUCUCUCUCUAUUAAACACGAUAAUGAUAAAGAGUUGAUAAACAAGUCGUUAUCUUAGUGUUGUCUUUCGUUGAAGCUAAAUUCAUUGCUACUGAAUUAUUAGUUAUAUAGACGAGAAUGAUGUGAAUUAAAAAGGCUAAUCUUCUCAGUACAUACAUACAUAUAAUAUCAUCAUUAUCAUCAUUAUUGUACAAGGACGCACGUGGUCGUCCACAGCUGUUAAUAAAAGUAUCAUGAAAAAUAUUAAAACGUUUUACUCACGUCACGCUUGAUAUUAUCAUUUCGUUCUCGUUGUUCGUUUAAUUAAGUCACUUUUUUUUUUCUUUCUUUUUUCUUCGUUUUACAGUGAGAAAUAGAGUAGCUUCCCACAGUUUUUUAAAUGUUACAAAGUUUUUAGGUUCAACGUAUGAUAUACUUUAAUUGUCAUAAGUUUAGAUCGUAAAUUCAUGAUAUUUGUUGGUGUAUCUCUUCUCACCUGUUGUGGUGCUGUAUCAGCCGGAGAAAAACUCGAGAGAGCGGUCAAGGGUGCUAAAGAUGCACAGGACGAUGCUCUCGACGGUGGUGGCGUGUGACCAGGGGUUGGACUUCCGCUUCCGCAACUACUUGCACCCCCGCUCGAAGAUAGACUCACGCUGUCUGCUCGCCCUCUCCAUGGCGACACCGACACGUGUUUCAACAUCUUUCUUUUAUACACGAUUUUACCUGAAAUUUAAUUUCCAUUCUCAUAUCACGAAUUUUAUCAUUACUAUACGAAUAUGUUAUUUUGUUUGUUCGUUAAUAUUUAAGAUUUUGAUGUAUCGUUGGUUUUCAUGUGUACAGUGAAAGCAGUAAGAAUUGUGGACGGGUUAAUAGCAAAAGACUAUGAUUCUUUCUUGAAUUGAAAUAAUCGUUUUAUCCUAGAUACGUCGGAAACAAUUAGGAGACAGGAAGUUGGGAAUAGAAAUUAGAAAAAGAGAAAGAGAGAGAGAGAGAGAGAGAGAGAGAGAGAGAGAGAGAGAGAGAGAGAGACAUUGUCAAUUUUGUAUUUUUGCGUGAACAGGAACUAGUGAAUUACAAUUGACGAGGAUCUUAAAAUGACUCGUAACUUUGCUUAAAAAUUCAAUCCAUCGAAUUUGCAGCCACUCAAAGUUGUUGUACAGAAGAAAUUGAGUUAGGAUAUACGGUAAUUACCGGAGGAAUGUCGUGAUUGCGAGUGAAAAGAAAAAGGUGUCGAGGGGAAUGACUUUGAACGUGUUUGUAUGUGUGUGUGUUGUAUACAUAUAUAUAUGUAUAAUUUGAAGUCCAAGUGAAAUCAGAGUGUUGUCUGGUACCUCCGGAUGUUCAUGCGUGUCAAGAAAAUUAAAAAAGAAAUGUUAGAAGAAGUUCGAAUAAAAAAACUGUUUAAUAACACACGAGAAUCUUAUUAAUUGCUUAUUCUUUUCCUACAUAAAUAUUUUGCUUCUAAUGCAAACGAAAGUUUUGAAUGAAAUCGAAAAUGCUAAAAGAAUUCCGACUGACAAAACUAGUAUUCUUAUCUUUAAUCAAAAAGAGAGAGAGAGAGAGAGAGAGAUAGAAAGAGAAAGAGAGAAAGAGAGAUAAAGGAUGUUCCGAUAAAUUAUAUCAAAACUUUAUAAAGAGGUUGUAGAGUAUUUAUACUCACUUUUACAAAUAUAUAUCGUCGUGUUUAAACGAACGGAGGGACAAGAAAUAAAUUAGAAAUUCUUCCCUUUCAACAAUGAAGAAUCAUUUUAAAUUAAUCAUCGAGCCAAGUUCACAAUCCAAUCGAAUUAGAAUUAACGAAGCAAUCGAAUGAUAAGAACACAAACAAGCACUGAGACGAUAAUCAUAUCACGUGUCACAAAAUUCACGAAUUCCUUCAAGCGUUACCUCUUUUUUUUCUAUUUCCUUUUUAACACGUAGAAAUGAAAACGAUUGUUAGACCGAACAUAUUUUUUUUCGAAAUAAAAAAUGAAAGAGGAAUGAUAGAGCAAGAGCGAGAUAUAUGUAUAUAUAUAUACAUAUAUGUGUGUAUAUAUAUAUAUAUAAAGCGACACAGAAAGCGAGUUAGAGAAAGAGAGAGAGAGAGAGAGAGCGAGAGAGAGAGAGAGAGCGAGAGAGAGAGAGAAAGAUACAGAAAAAGAAAGAUGGAGAUGAACGAACGCGGAGCGCAUUCGAAGUGCACGCGACGAGCGCUGCGCCAGUACUAACUAUCCGCGCGAACGAGUAAAGUAGUAGCGCUGCACGUUCUAUAGUAUAGUAGUAGUCGACCAAGCGGGAACUCAAAAGCCAAGCGAAGGAAAGAGAACGACCUUCCUGUAUGGCGAUAUACUAGCUUCAGAGAAAACUCGACAGAGAGAGAGAGAGAGAGAGAGAGAGAGAGAGAGAGAGAGAGAAGGAGAGAAAGACAGAGAUAGAAAUAGAGAUGGAGAUGGAUAGAUACGUAUGACUAUGGAUAUGGUUCGUAGGUAUGAGUAUGGAUGGAUGUGUGUGUGUGUGUGUGUUUUAGCGUCGGUGGUGCGGGGGCGUAGUUUUGCCGCUUUCGUUGAACAGGAACAUGGACGUCGUAUGUCCACGCAAACGUUCUCCUUCGUUCGCCGACCCUUUGCUUUCUUUUACGAGACACACUUGGACCCAGGACGAUGGCUUGUUACGGUAGAGCAAACCUACUCAAGGUUCACCUUAAGUAUAGGCCCUUUUCUUAGAUUUCUUCUUUUUCUUUUUCUUUUUCUCUUUAUUUUUCUUUCUUCCUCUUUUUCGUUUUCUUUUUCUUUCUUGGAUUUGUUGAUUUUUC
Molecule: long non-coding RNA, 9258 nt
Organism: Vespa velutina
Lineage: Eukaryota; Metazoa; Arthropoda; Insecta; Hymenoptera; Vespidae
Exons: 8
Source: RefSeq, a predicted model, not a curated record